UCCGGAUUUAUUGGGUUUAAAGGGUGCGCAGGCGGAUUAAUAAGUCAGUAGUGAAAUCCUGCAGCUUAACUGUAGAAUUGCUAUUGAUACUGUUAAUCUUGAGUACAGUUGAGGUAGGCGGAAUGUAUGAUGUAGCGGUGAAAUGCUUAGAUAUCAUACAGAACACCAAUUGCGAAGGCAGCUUACUAAACUGUAACUGACGCUGAGGCACGAAAGCGUGGGGAGCGAACAGGAUUAGAUACCCUGGUAGUCCACGCUGUAAACGAUGAUCACUCGCUGUUGGCAAUACAUCGUCAGUGGCUGAGCAAAAGCAUUAAGUGAUCCACCUGGGGAGUACGUCGGCAACGAUGAAACUCAAAGGAAUUGACGGGGGCCCGCACAAGCGGUGGAACAUGUGGUUUAAUUCGAUGAUACGCGAGGAACCUUACCUGGGCUUAAAUGCAGAACGACGGUUCCCGAAAGGGAUCCUUCUUCGGACGGACUGCAAGGUGCUGCAUGGUUGUCGUCAGCUCGUGCCGUGAGGUGUCGGGUUAAGUCCCAUAACGAGCGCAACCCCUAUUGUUAGUUGCCAGCGAGUAAUGUCGGGGACUCUAACGAAACUGCCGGUGUAAACCGUGAGGAAGGUGGGGAUGACGUCAAAUCAGCACGGCCCUUAUGUCCAGGGCUACACACGUGUUACAAUGGUCGGUACAGAGGGCAGCUACUUGGCGACAAGUUGCAAAUCUCUAACACCGGCCUUAGUUCGGAUUGAAGUCUGCAACUCGACUUCAUGAAGCUGGAAUCG
This 784-nucleotide ribosomal RNA is filed under the name uncultured organism. Its description in RNAcentral is "bacterial SSU rRNA". It matches the Rfam family "Bacterial small subunit ribosomal RNA", at positions 544 to 1334 of the family's 1533-position model. The record is from RNAcentral.